GCCUUCGUGGUGUAACAGUAGCACGCUGGGCCUUUAUUCCAGAGGUCCGUGGUUCGAUUCCCGGCGAAGGCG
This 72-nucleotide transfer RNA is filed under the name Stegodyphus dumicola. RNAcentral describes it as "tRNA-Lys". It matches the Rfam family "tRNA". Rfam says of the family: Transfer RNA (tRNA) molecules are approximately 80 nucleotides in length. Lineage: Eukaryota; Metazoa; Arthropoda; Arachnida; Araneae; Eresidae. The record is from RNAcentral.